Venturia canescens is the source of this 588-nucleotide long non-coding RNA. RefSeq lists it as uncharacterized. The transcript has 3 exons. The record is from RefSeq and is a predicted model, not a curated record. Lineage: Eukaryota; Metazoa; Arthropoda; Insecta; Hymenoptera; Ichneumonidae.
GGUUUUCGAAAACAUUCGUGCAACGGGAAAAACUGUUGGCAGACGAGAAUAAUUUAUUCUUUGAAUAAUAAAAGAGAAUCAAAUUUCUGCAUUCACCUCAAAGAUCUCGAGUUGUAUAAAAGGCUGCAUAAAAACGUAAACUGCACCACAGUGCUUGAGGAAUUAAAUCGAGUGUCACCAUGAAGAUCGUAUCAGUUAUUUUCGUGCUGCUUCUGAGUAUCCUUGCUCUGUACCAAGCUGGUGUUUGUGAGGCCUCGCCCUAUCGUAGAGGUGGAUCAUGGGGACAACGUGGCGGUGGAGGCUAUCAAUGGGGCGGUAAAGGAGGCGGUUACCACUGGGGCGGUGGUCAUCAAUGGCACCAUGGAGGAGGUUGGCAUCGCGGAUAAAAAGGACUCGAAAUUUAGAUUCCAGAAGACCGCACCAAUAUUCGUUAACCCCUAAACGAGCUUAAAGAAAAAAUGGAACGAACUAUCGCUAAUUGUCCGAAUGAAACUUUGAAUUAUUAACAAACAAUUUUUAUAAUUACUAAUGUGAAGGGAGAAAUUAUUCUCAUUUUGUAUUUUUCGGAAUAAAAACAUUUUCAUUUUA